AUACAUACAUAUAUAUAUAUUUCUAUAUACAUAUAUAUAUGUAUAUAUACACACACACACACACGAAUAUAUGUGUGUGUGUGUGUGUGUGUGCCACUGUGUGUUUGUGUGUGUGUAUUCAAAUGGUUCUAAAGAAGCUAUAAGAUGUUGCAUGUGCACUGAACACUGGGAACAUUGUUCUUUAAAGCAGAAACAACUAUAAGCAAGUGGAAGUAGCUACAUAACUCCAGUUUGUUUGUUUUUUGUCAUUCAUUUAUUAAUCAAUAGUACACUCUGUACUGACCUACUGGUUCAUAUAAGAGUCCAGAGUGGAGAAAUUCAUAAUAAAUCACCCCUCUCCAUCUCUAGUUCUCACUAAUAAUGUAAAAUAUAAGUAAAAUGAGUUUUAACAAUUGGUUGCUGAUGUCUUAUAGUAAUCAUAAAAUAUUUAUAAAUAUAUAUAUAUUUAUAUAUGCAUAUACAUACACACAUACAAGUGCACACACAUGCAGACACAUAUAUAAAUACAUACAUAUAUAUGUAUGUAUGUAUUAGUUAAUAUAUCUGAAAAAGAAGCAUACUCUAAAACAACAGAGCAGUAGUAUCUUUAGAUGGUUAUUUGUUAUUGCCAGUCAGAAAGUCGCCAUUGGUUCUGCAGCUAUAAAGCGCUCAGCUGAAUAGGCAACUCAUCCCUUAUGCAGCUAAGUGCUAUAUAGGUGUGAAACCAAUGGUCAGUCUCUGACCAUCCAUAACAAACAACCUUCAAAGUAUGUGGCACGUAAAGCACCCACUACACUCACGGAGUGGUUGGUGUUAGGAAGGGCAU
This is a long non-coding RNA of Octopus sinensis (East Asian common octopus), 805 nucleotides long. RefSeq lists it as uncharacterized. The transcript is spliced from 4 exons. The record is from RefSeq and is a predicted model, not a curated record. Lineage: Eukaryota; Metazoa; Mollusca; Cephalopoda; Octopoda; Octopodidae.